UCUUUGUUAGUGCAUAGGUUAGUACACGCGCCUGUCACGCGCGAUAGCUGGGUUCGACUCCCAGACAGAGAG
Molecule: transfer RNA, 72 nt
Filed under: Laccaria bicolor S238N-H82
Lineage: Eukaryota; Fungi; Basidiomycota; Agaricomycetes; Agaricales; Hydnangiaceae
Description: tRNA-Asp (GTC) (tRNA-Asp-GTC-8-1)
Rfam family: tRNA
About the family: Transfer RNA (tRNA) molecules are approximately 80 nucleotides in length. Their secondary structure includes four short double-helical elements and three loops (D, anti-codon, and T loops).
Source: RNAcentral